AGGGGACGAAAGUCUGAUGGAGCAAUACCAUGUGAACGAUGAAGGCCUUUUUGGUUGUAAAGUUCUUUUACUAGGGAUAAUUAUGAUAGUACUUCGUGAAUAAGUGACAGCGAACUAUGUGCCAGCAGCUGCCGAACACAUAGGUCGCGAGCAUUAUUCGGAUUUAUUGGGAGUAAAGUAAGCGCAGGCGGAUGUGUAAAUUCUGUGUUAAAUGCAGCUACUCAAUAUUUGUAUGCGCCGAAUACUACAUGUCUAGAUGGUGGUAGGGAGUUUCGGAAUUAAGCAUGGAGCGGUGGAAUGUGUAGAUAUGCUUAAGAACACCAGAGGCGAAGGCGGAAACUUAGGCCAUAAAUGACGCUAAGACUUGAAAGUGUGGUGAGCCAAUGGCAUUAGAUACCCCAGUGCUCCACACCGUAGACGAUGGGUAUUAGAUAUUAGGGCUUUAUCUUUAUUGUUGAUGCUUACGCGUUAAAUACCCCGCCUGGGACGUACAUAUGCCAAUAUGAAACUCAAAGGAAUUGACGGGUACCUGACCAAGUAGAUGGAGACGGCUCUGACCAAGUGGAGUUAGGACGAAUCCUUCCCGAAGGAAUUAUGGCAAACA
RNAcentral lists this unclassified non-coding RNA (604 nucleotides) under Mycoplasma haemofelis. RNAcentral's name for it is "partial 16S-23S ribosomal RNA intergenic spacer". It matches the Rfam family "Bacterial small subunit ribosomal RNA", at positions 370 to 997 of the family's 1533-position model. The record is from RNAcentral. Lineage: Bacteria; Bacillati; Mycoplasmatota; Mollicutes; Mycoplasmatales; Mycoplasmataceae.